AAACUGCCCCCUAAGUUUUGCAACUGUAGCAGUUUUGGCCCCCAAAGCCAAUUUUUGGUAAAAAAGAAUAUAAAAAAAACACGUGGCACCUCACUUAGGGUGCAAUGUCAGCGUAGACUGAGUCAAAAUUAGCAUUGAGGGCCAAAACUGCCACAUAUGCAAAACUUAGGGGCAGUUU
This 178-nucleotide microRNA precursor is filed under the name Medicago truncatula (barrel medic). RNAcentral's name for it is "MIR2619 microRNA precursor family". It matches the Rfam family "MIR2619 microRNA precursor family". The record is from Rfam by way of RNAcentral. Lineage: Eukaryota; Viridiplantae; Streptophyta; Magnoliopsida; Fabales; Fabaceae.